Molecule: long non-coding RNA, 599 nt
Filed under: Gallus gallus (chicken)
Lineage: Eukaryota; Metazoa; Chordata; Aves; Galliformes; Phasianidae
Source: RNAcentral
GGAAAGGAUGAGGAACAUAAUACUUGGUUCUCUUCAUAGCAGAUGUGAGGGAAGAUAUUUGUGUUUAAAUUUACCAGUGAGAAUAAAGAAAUAUUGCUGAGAUUCUGUGAAGUUUCUGCCUGGGACUUGAAAAGGUGAUGUUCUCUGGUAGACAGAAGACAGAAAGCCAAGAGUGAUAUUCGGAGUGACACAGAGUAUAUGGAUCAGGAUCAAGAGGUUCUGCAUAAUAAUGAUUACUUCAAGAACAGAGCUGGUAUGUGCCUAAUCUCUACAAAAGACAACGUUAGUGCACUUCUAUGCUGCACCCUAGCGUGCUGAAACAAAGAAAAAUACAUUCAAAGAACUGCAUUCUUAGUCCUACCUGGGUGAGAACAGCUCUGGCUAUGAUGAACAGUAAGUCCAUCUACAAUGUUUUCUUUAAAAAGAAAAAGAAUCAAUUUUAAAUGUCUGAAAUGUGACUAUCUAACUCAAGCCAAGACAUCCCCUUACAGAUGAUUACAACCUAUGUUUGACUCUGUUGCUUGUUUCGCAUGGAACAGGACACUAUGCUUGCUUCUCUAAUUUAUACAUUGUCAUAGUGGUCAUAACAUGGUUAUGAA